This 398-nucleotide ribosomal RNA is filed under the name uncultured bacterium. Its description in RNAcentral is "partial 16S ribosomal RNA". It matches the Rfam family "Bacterial small subunit ribosomal RNA", at positions 523 to 918 of the family's 1533-position model. The record is from RNAcentral.
AUACGUAGGGUGCGAGCGUUGUCCGGAAUUACUGGGCGUAAAGAGCUCGUAGGUGGUUUGUCGCGUCGUCUGUGAAAUUCCGGGGCUUAACUCCGGGCGUGCAGGCGAUACGGGCAUAACUUGAGUACUGUAGGGGAGACUGGAAUUCCUGGUGUAGCGGUGAAAUGCGCAGAUAUCAGGAGGAACACCGGUGGCGAAGGCGGGUCUCUGGGCAGUAACUGACGCUGAGGAGCGAAAGCAUAGGUAGCGAACAGGAUUAGAUACCCUGGUAGUCCAUGCCGUAAACGGUGGGCGCUAGGUGUAGGGGUCUUCCACGACUUCUGUGCCGUAGCUAACGCAUUAAGCGCCCCGCCUGGGGAGUACGGCCGCAAGGCUAAAACUCAAAUGAAUUGGCGGGG